GGUCAAGCGAACAAGUGCAUGUGGUGGAUGCCUUGGCGAUCACAGGCGAUGAAGGACGCGGUAGCCUGCGAAAAGCUACGGGGAGCUGGCAAACGAGCUUUGAUCCGUAGAUGUCCGAAUGGGGAAACCCGGCCCUUUUGGGUCAUCCUGGACUGAAUACAUAGGUCCAGUGAAGCGAACGCGGUGAACUGAAACAUCUAAGUAACCGCAGGAAAAGAAAUCAACCGAGAUUCCCAAAGUAGUGGCGAGCGAAAUGGGAUGAGCCUUGCACUCUUUAUUUGUAUUGUUAGCCGAA
Molecule: ribosomal RNA, 295 nt
Filed under: Burkholderia cenocepacia
Lineage: Bacteria; Pseudomonadati; Pseudomonadota; Betaproteobacteria; Burkholderiales; Burkholderiaceae
Description: partial 23S ribosomal RNA
Rfam family: Bacterial large subunit ribosomal RNA
Source: RNAcentral